UUCCCUAUUUCCCAAGUUUCUGGUCUGCGCGCCAAAUACAGAAAAGUGUAGGGUCUGAUCUACAAAACCUCUCUAGACUAAGAUUGCCUUGCUGGAGGACGGCAGGUUGAUUUGGUUAAAGUCAGGGGUUUCUUUUGUAAAACACACAUGCUGAAGGGGGGUAUCGGCCGUUCAUAGCCGUUGGAUGAAACGUUGAUGGUUCAGAUUUGAUAAGACGAAGGGGUAAGUUGGUUCUAAUUUCAGCCGCCCCGCCGGAUAGAGGAACAAUCAUGGGCGAGUCUCAGGGGCGGUGGCCCGCGACGACGUUGCAUCGAACGACGACGACUGCACCCCGCCAAAACACCGUCAGCCGCCCCAGCGACUUGCUUCUUCUCCCUGCGCGAACACGGCACGGUGGGACGAGCGGUGAGCCCCAGCGUCAACAGCCAGCGCCGGAUCCUAGAGCGCCAUCCGCCCCGCAUAUUCCCAGACGGCGGCCAUGCCAGAGCUUUCCCCCAUGGCCGGCAUGCUGUUGACGACGAACGAAGGAGUUGCUCUGAUCUGGUGACCCUAGCUCUAAAUUUUCUCGUACG
This 572-nucleotide long non-coding RNA is filed under the name Zea mays. RNAcentral describes it as "long non-coding RNA NONZMAT001534". The record is from RNAcentral. Lineage: Eukaryota; Viridiplantae; Streptophyta; Magnoliopsida; Poales; Poaceae.